CUUUGUUUUCUACACGGCAUCGCACUGGAACGCUAAGUCGCUUGACGGCACAGCUUUGCCGGUAGCAUGGUAACUAGCCACGGCCGUAGCCUUCCACUAGACCAGCCCAGAGACCAUUUAGAAAA
This is a long non-coding RNA of Maniola jurtina (meadow brown), 125 nucleotides long. RefSeq lists it as uncharacterized. The transcript has 3 exons. NCBI's taxonomy places the organism in Eukaryota, Metazoa, Arthropoda, Insecta, Lepidoptera, Nymphalidae. The record is from RefSeq and is a predicted model, not a curated record.